This 52-nucleotide ribosomal RNA is filed under the name Dendrobium hercoglossum. Its description in RNAcentral is "partial 26S ribosomal RNA". The record is from RNAcentral. Lineage: Eukaryota; Viridiplantae; Streptophyta; Magnoliopsida; Asparagales; Orchidaceae.
GUGACCCCAGGAUGGGCGAGGCCACCCGCCGAGUUUAAGCAUAUCAAUAAGC